CCAGAAAACAGUCAACCAUAAACAGUCAGCAAGAAAACAGUCAACAAGAAAACAGUCAACCAUAAACAGUCAGAAAGAAAACAGUCAACCAUAAAAAGUCAACAAGAAAACAGUCAGCCAGAAAACAGUCAACCAUAAACAGUCAGCAAGAAAACAGUCAGCAAGAAAACAGUCAACACCAAACCGGUCAAAAAGAAAACAGUCAACAAGAAGACAGUCAACACCAAACCAGUCAAAAAGAAAACAGUCAAAAAGAAAACAGUCAACAAGAAAACAGUCAGCAAGAAAACGUCAACCAUAAACAGUCAGAAAGAAAACAGUCAACAAGAAAACAGUCAACAAGAAAACAGUCAACCAUAAACAGUCAGAAAGAAAACAGUCAACCAUAAAAAGUCAACAAGAAAACAGUCAGCCAGAAAACAGUCAACCAUAAACAGUCAGCAAGAAAACAGUCAGCAAGAAAACAGUCAACACCAAACCGGUCAAAAAGAAAACAGUCAACAAGAAGACAGUCAACACCAAACCAGUCAAAAAGAAAACAGUCAACAAGAAAACAGUCAGCAAGAAAACGUCAACCAUAAACAGUCAGCAAGAAAACAGUCAACAAGAUAACAGUCAACCACAAUCAACAAGAAAACUGUCAACAAGAAAACAGUCAACCACAAACAGUCAACACCAAAACAGGCAACAAGAAUACAGUCAACAAGAAAAUGCUGCUCCCCCGUGUCGUUCAGGAGCCCAAACAAAGUUAGCGUGCUACAAUAUCGGACAUUUUUUAUAUCUUGAUAUGAUUGAAAAGUCCUGAUCUCUAAUAUUCUCUCAGCUGGAUUUGACCAUUAAAUUAACCUUUCCAUCAAACCUGAGAGCUCUGUGUGUCGGUGCAGGUCGGAUUCAAUCUUUCUAAACUACCUCAGAGUCUGUGUGUGCAGGACGAUCAGACCGUAUGGAGAGAAGAAGCAGGAGGAACACAAUCCUCCAUGACGACACGAUCAUCAAAGCCGUUCUCCACCUCCUCUAACCUGAUUGGUUGUGAGGCAGACGCUGCUCCCCCGUGUCGUUCAGGAGCCCAAACAAAGUUAGCGUGCUACAAUAUCGGACAGUAGAAACCAACCAGAAAGUUCGGAAAAUUGUCUGAA
Xyrichtys novacula (pearly razorfish) is the source of this 1136-nucleotide non-coding RNA. The record is from the annotation of a GenBank genome assembly. Lineage: Eukaryota; Metazoa; Chordata; Actinopteri; Labriformes; Labridae.